AUGAGCUUCGCCCCACAGAAUAGCUCAUACCAAAACAAUUACUCAUAUGGGUGGUUUAAAAACCAGAAUAUGUCAUAUAGGAACAGCAAUCCUGAGGUCUCACCGUUUGCUUCUAGUAAUCAUAUGCAGGGAUUUAGGUAUGAAGAGGAGAGCAACAACUAUGCACCACAACAAUUUUAUUCACAUUCUACUCAUGUACCUCAGCACCUGGAGAUGUUUCCAGUGGAGUUAAAUGGUCCUCCACUUGGUCAACCAACAAAUCUAGAACCUGUUGAGUAUUCAGUGCAAGUGCCCACACAAGAUGAAUUUGAUGAUCUAGAGAAUCUCACACUACUCAGUCUCGAGUUCACUUGGAGUGUCGGAGAUGAUCCUAUUAGGAAGGUUACACUAGAGGAAAUGAAGAAGAUCAAGAGUGGAAAAUAUCUAGUGGAAGAAGUAAGGAAGAUUGAGAAGAACAUCAACGUUGGCAACACUAUUUCUUCACAGCUAGAGCUAAGUAUUUCUGGGAUAUCCCUUGAUACAUGUGAGGUCCCAACACCUUCACAUUCAGCUGAGCAAGAUAGCGAGAGCCCAGAGGAAGAAAGACCUCAGAUUGAAGAAGAAAUACUCGAAGACAAGGAACAAGAUGAUCCAGAGCUCGAACGACCAAGUGAUCAAGUUGAAGACUUAUCAUCUACUACUCUUGAAGUAGUAAAAGAAGUUGAUGUAGUUGAAGAUGAAGAAUUAGAGAUUCAAUUGCCCAUCGUCAUACAGCAACGUGAUGUAGCAGGUUUAUCCAAUCCUCUCAAUGACAUGCGUCCUUAUGAUUUCUUUGCUUCUACUUUGCAUUACAUGAUACCAUCAAUUAAGAUAGACUUGAAAAAUUGUUUGCUUGGACAUGAUCAUACAUACCAUGUUCGUGGCAUUGUUCUCAUUUAUGAUGAUGACACUUAUUCUCCUCAUGCUAGACCUAUGCUUAAUGAUAAAUAUCAUCCUCAUGUUAGUAUUGAGCAUGUUGAUUCCUAUCAUACUUGUCAUGUUCUAUAUUCCUAUGCUUAUAUAAUUGGAUAUUUGAUCGACAACUUAGAGGGCAUCUACCCUAUCACUUGUAGUUGUUGUUUGUGUGAGUCAUAUUUCAGGUCUUUGCUUGUGCACGAAUCAAUACAUGCUGACCAGGUUCGAGGUGACAUCCCUUGGGAUCCCGGUGGAGUCAGAGCAUGGCAAUGA
RNAcentral lists this ribosomal RNA (1206 nucleotides) under Triticum aestivum (bread wheat). RNAcentral's name for it is "partial small subunit ribosomal RNA". Lineage: Eukaryota; Viridiplantae; Streptophyta; Magnoliopsida; Poales; Poaceae. The record is from RNAcentral.